Molecule: ribosomal RNA, 3666 nt
Filed under: Phacus helikoides
Lineage: Eukaryota; Euglenozoa; Euglenophyceae; Euglenales; Phacaceae
Description: partial 28S large subunit ribosomal RNA
Rfam family: Eukaryotic large subunit ribosomal RNA
Source: RNAcentral
UUUAAGCAUAWUCACUCAGUGGAGGAAUGGAAGGCAACCGCGACUGCUUCAGUAAUGGCGAAUGAACCGGCAAUCCAGUGGCCCGGCCCGAAUCGAUCCUGUCCUAUGGUCGGCUAUCGCGUGGGAAGCAAAACAAUGCAUCCAUCCUGUGGGCUGUGGAGCGGCCAGUGCUUGGCCCGGGUCGUCGCGGCAUCGGGAAGGCUCUAUCCUGGAACGGACCUUGUUUGCGCGGCAGAGGGUGAGUGCCCCGUGCGCAGGACUGUGUGCCAUGACCGGCCUGGGCCGGACUGUGCUGYAUCCGUGAGUAAGGCUGCUUGGGACUGCAGUUUGAACCGCGAGACGUGUCUCUCGCAAGGCUGUGGAGUAUCACCAUGGGACCGAUAGCGCACAAGUAGAGCGAUCGAAGGAUGCAAAGGACUUUGUGAAGAGAGCUAGACAGUGCCUGAAGCCUCGGCAGAAACGGCGGUGUGCGGUUGUGCCUGUUCAGUGCUAGACCCAGCUGGGGGUCGGAUCGUGGAUCUGGCCCUGCCAUCGAUCGUGGACCCGUCCCUGCUGGCCAUCCAAGCGACCAUAGACCGGCCCCACGGUCGCGCCGCGGAGCCAACGUCCCAAGGCGUUGAUGGCUCUCCUUUCGCGGCGGCCUGUUGUGGUUGGGUAUCAGYAAGCCUCGCGUGAGUCUGUGGGUUGAAUGAGAAAGAACCAAGGAAUGCGCAUGCCGCUCUGCUUCUCUGUCUGUCUAUCUGGCGCUGUGUGAUGGCUGUGACUGGUUGAAGAGGAAGAGUGUGGAACCCCGGUUGGCGCCUGCGGGCGUUUACCAGUUACCAGUGGUCUGGUCUCGUUUGCAUGGCUGCAACGGGAGGGUCACCGCACAAGCGGCGGUGACUGCCAGCGCCAUGCGGUCCCCCGGCCCAGCGCUGGUAGGUUCCAAUGGCAGCCCGUGCUUGGCCUCCUCUGCGGAGCCGCACACUGCCCGUCUUGAAACACGGACCAAGGAGUCUAUGGACCUUGCAGGUUGGCUUGUGCGAUCGYGGCUGUGAGUGAAAACCCCAAGGCGCGGUGAAAGCAAAGACCAACAGAGCCUCCAGAUGCUUGGUGAUGAGCUGCAUGGAACACCGGCCCGCGUGUCCAACGGACGUGGCUUUGAGUGCUUGCAAGGAUCGUGUGACCCGAAAGGUGGUGAACUAUGCCAUUCCAUGACGAAGCCAUGGGAAACUGUGGUGGAGGUCAGUAAGCUGUUCUGACGUGCAAAUCGCUGUAGCCCGAGUGUGGCAUGGGGGUGAAAGGCCAAUCGAACCAUCUAGUAGCUGGUUUCACUCGAAGUUUCCCUCAGGAUAGCUUGGCUGAUGUACAACCGGCUGAUGUGUAGCGGGAACUGUACCGCGGCGACACCAGUGAGGCAAGACCGCUGACCCACAAGCGAUGGCUUAUGAUCCACAGGCAGGGUUCCGUCCGGUAAAGCAACGCAUGAGAGGCUUCAGCGGGGAGCAAUGCAUCCUCGACCUAUCCUCGAACUGUGAAUGGGCGUGGCAUCAGUGGCUGCAACAACCAUGGAACCGACAGGGUCUGUGGUCUCUCUCUAGCUCCACGUGGUUUUGGCUGUGGCUUUCCAACGCACCUCUAUCCUCUGGUUCCAGUGGUUUGGCAUGCUUCUUCACCGUUGUAGUCUGAGUCCUGGUUCGGCUGAUCACCACACCGGUUACUCCAUGGGCCUGCGCUGAGCAUGUUGGCUGCUGAAGGACACGGCCUCUGGCCGCGCCUGCGUUGGUUGUGAUGAGAGGGAUGCUGACGUUUGCUGGUGACGUCCGUUGUUGUGUGCCUGGCCAUGCUGGUUGUGUGGGGGUCUGCCCUCCCACGCCUGCCUCUGGAUUGCAUGCUGUUGGCCCUUGUGGCUGCGGCUGGUCUUGCUUCGCUCCUUGCCUGUGGCUCACGCACCGCGACAGAGGCCAAACGGUUGUGAACUAAGUCUGCCAGUGUGGACCAUGCAUUGGUAAGCAGUGCUGGUGACGCGGGAUGCUCCGAGAGUCAACCUACAGUGCCGGAGUGCUGGCUCAUACUCAGAUCCCACAAAGGAUGCCGCGGGCUAUGGAUAGCAGGUCGGUGGCCAUGAAGGUUGGAACCCGCUAAGGACUGUGUAACAACUCACCUGCCGAAGUCCGCGGCUCCCAAAACGGAUGGCGCCCAAGUCAGCGUGCGAUGCGCGUUCCUCAGGGUUGACUGCUGCUGUGGCAGCCUCGCUCAGUGAUGAAGAUGGCAGAGCAUCAGGCAUGUAGAGUGACACGGGGGAUCUCCAUGGCCCUGGCGCCGCCAACGGUGGGAGACCAAUCUCUGCCGAAGCCUCCUCCGGAACAGAUCUUGGUUGCAGUAGCGAGUACUCCAUCGGGUGACUGGCAGCUGUACCCACAUGGCUGCCGCGUGUGGUUGAGGACUGGAGUGGAGCAGGGUUCUGCAUCKAACAGCCGUUGAAUGCAGGUCASCCGSCCGUGAGUCAAGUGGUAAGCCCAGUGUGAACUCUACCAAGGCCAUCAUCAAUCASRGGSGAAUKCCAGGUYUCAGKGUYGCGGCUYCCAGGGUYCCMCCCUGGCCCCUYKKUGGGCCGUGUGGUGSSCCSCCACGGCKCUGUCCCCCCRGACSACCCKCUGGUGCGUUGUGUGGGAUUGGCAAACAGGUCAGCAUCAGGCAACAUCCGGCUGCCGCGGGCKAUGGAACUCACCAACACAAASGSUGGURGAUGGUGGWAACACCAGUGUGAACCGCAGCAAGCAGGCUGAGAGUCAAUGCACCCCAUGGGGCGUUAUCGUUUCCCUCUGAUGCCGUCAGACACGUAGGCUACCGAACCAGCAUGGCGGAUGGUGACGUAUGCUUCACUCUCAGCAAGGCAGUGCUGUCUCGGCACUGAUGGUUGAGGUCCAGUACGUGUGUGAACGACGCGGUGGUCAUUGACUCCACUGAAAGGCCUGUGGGACAGCUUGUUUUACCUUCCAACGGCCCUGACGGUCGUACUGUAUCACCGCAGCCGGUCUCCAUGACACGACGUCGCUGGUCAACGGAUUGAAUGCAGCUGAGGGAAGUCGGCAAACUGGCUGUGUACCCUGGGAAGAUGCAGUGGCUCCAGAGGCCAAGCCGUUGGGUCCAGUCACCGGUGACGGUCCUCCGCGGAUGGAUGUGGUAAGCCGCACGCAUGCGGUGGGGCCGCGCGACGGCCCCGCUGUGCGGUGAAGCCCACCGUGCGCGGGCCGUCUCACGGUGGCUGGGGUCUGAACAAGGGCGUGGUGAUACACGGCUGUGGGUCCACGGACCCACGGUCCACCGCGACCCCCGGGCCGUCCCAAUGGCUACCCACGUGGCUCCAAUGGAACUGUGUGCUGUGCGGAGGAAUCUGACUGUUUAAUUGAAACCCAGCUUUGUGGCUUGUGAUCGGCUGGCUGCUGCCAUGAGGUGACUUCUGCCCAGUGCUUUGUCUGUCAAUGCCAAGAGAUUGCGCCAAGCGCGGGUAAACGGCGGGAGUAACUAUGACUCUCUUAAGGUAGCCAAAUGCCUCGUCAACCAAUUAUUGACGCGCAUGAAUGGAUCAACGAGAUUCCUGCUGUCCCCAGCUGCUAUCCGGUGAAGCAACAGCCAAGGGAACGGGCUUGGACGUGCCAGCGGGGAAAGAAGAGCCUGUUGAGA